GCAUUUGCCAUGUGUCCACUAAA
RNAcentral lists this small nuclear RNA (23 nucleotides) under Arabidopsis thaliana (thale cress). Its description in RNAcentral is "snRNA_04546". Lineage: Eukaryota; Viridiplantae; Streptophyta; Magnoliopsida; Brassicales; Brassicaceae. The record is from RNAcentral.